Molecule: ribosomal RNA, 460 nt
Filed under: uncultured bacterium
Lineage: Bacteria
Description: partial 16S ribosomal RNA
Rfam family: Bacterial small subunit ribosomal RNA
Source: RNAcentral
CCUACGGGCGACAGCAGUGGGGAAUAUUGGUCAAUGGACGCAAGUCUGAACCAGCCAUGCCGCGUGCAGGAAGACGGCUCUAUGAGUUGUAAACUGCUUUUGUACGAGGGUAAACGCAGAUACGCGUAUCUGUCUGAAAGUAUCGUACGAAUAAGGAUCGGCUAACUCCGUGCCAGCAGCCGCGGUAAUACGGAGGAUUCAAGCGUUAUCCGGAUUUAUUGGGUUUAAGGGGUGCGUAGGCGGUCGGAUAAGUUAGAGGUGAAAUGCCGAGGCUCAACUUCGGAAUUGCCGCUGAUACUGUUCGGCUAGAGAGUAGUUGCGGUAGGCGGAAUGUAUGGUGUAGAGGUGAAAUUCGUAGAUAUUGGGUAGAACACCGAUUGCGAAGGCAUCUCACGAAUCCGCGAUUGACGCUGAUGCACGAAAGCGUGGGUAGCAAACAGGAUUAGAUACCCGUGUAGUC